This 778-nucleotide long non-coding RNA is filed under the name Hordeum vulgare. RNAcentral's name for it is "long non-coding RNA (HVUL_LNC018300)". The record is from RNAcentral. Lineage: Eukaryota; Viridiplantae; Streptophyta; Magnoliopsida; Poales; Poaceae.
CCAGGGGUGCUGGUGCCGGAGGCGCUGGGGCUGGGCAACUGGGUGAAGGCGCAGGAGUGGGCGGCGCUCCCAGACGGGCAGGCGACGUACCUGGGCAACCCGGUGCCGUGGGGCAACCUGCCGACCAUCCUGGCGAUCGAGUUCCUGGCCAUCGCCUUCGCGGAGCAGCAGCGCACCAUGGAGAAGGACCCGGAGAAGAAGAAGUACCCCGGCGGCGCCUUCGACCCGCUCGGCUUCUCCAAGGACCCCGCCAAGUUCGAGGAGCUCAAGCUCAAGGAGAUCAAGAACGGUACGUCCCAGUCCCAUCACAUAUACCCCGUUAUCGAAUGAAGAAUCAUACGUAGAUAGAACAAGCUGACGCGUUCGUCCGUGGGGAAUGCAUUGCAGGGCGGCUGGCGAUGCUGGCGUUCGUGGGGUUCUGCGUGCAGCAGUCGGCGUACCCCGGCACCGGCCCGCUGGAGAACCUGGCCACGCACCUCGCGGACCCGUGGCACAACAACAUCGGCGACAUCGUCAUCCCCAGAAAUAUCUACGGCCCUUGAGCGGAGCCGACCGGGCUGAGAGGAGAUCGAGGAGCCGGAGCGCAUGGUUUUCAUUCAUGUUUCUGAGUCGAUCCAUUGGUUGAUCACCUUGCCACGCUGGCUCUGCGCGCGCACCGUCCGUGCGUGCUGGAACUGUACAACAACGUCGGCUCUCCGGCCGGCAACCUUUGUAAUGUGUAAAGCUUAAGUAGCGGCCGCUGUUGCGAAUGCAUCCGUGUGAUCUGUAUAAAUUCUUU